UUAUCUCUGUAGAGUCUGCAUUAUCAAUAAGCGGAGGAAAAGAAACUAACUAGGAUUCCCUAAGUAACGGCGAGUGAAGCGGGAAGAGCUCAAAUUUGAAAUCUUCAAGGUUCUACCUUGACGAAUUGUAGUUUAAAGAAGUGUUUUCUGUUGGAAGUUUUGGUAAAAGUUCUUUGGAAUAGGACAUCAUAGAGGGUGAGAAUCCCGUAUUUGACCGAUUAUUUCCAGCUGUGUGAUACACUUUCAAAGAGUCGGAUUGUUUGGGAAUGCAGUCCAAAAUGGGUGGUAAAUUUCAUCUAAAGCUAAAUACUGGCGAGAGACCGAUAGCGAACAAGUACCGUGAGGGAAAGAUGAAAAGAACUUUGAAAAGAGAGUUAAACAGUACGUGAAAUUGUCAAAAGGGAAGCGUUUGACACCAGUGUUGUUUUCUCGAAAAUCAAUUAAAAAGGAUUGGAUUUUGUGUUGUAUUGACUUUAUCAGCUUUCUGCACUCUUUUCAUUGUCUUUUUUAAUGCACUUUUCGUUUAACAAGUCAACAUCAAGUUUCUUUUGUUGUAAAAGGGUCAUUGGAAGGUGGCUUUCCUUUCGGAGAAAGUGUUUAUAGCCUUUGGCUUCUGCAAUCGGAGAGAUUGAGGUCUGCAGCGUAGAUCCUUCGGGGUUAGAUACAUUUGUGCUAAGUUAUAGCCUUUUCAUAGACAACAUUGUUGACUAUGAUCAGUCAUGUAGCUUACUCGCUUAUGCUAUUUUACCUACGCUUAGGAUGUUGAUCUCUCACAGUCGAGC
RNAcentral lists this ribosomal RNA (782 nucleotides) under uncultured Neocallimastigales. Its description in RNAcentral is "partial large subunit ribosomal RNA". It matches the Rfam family "Eukaryotic large subunit ribosomal RNA", at positions 1 to 645 of the family's 3401-position model. Lineage: Eukaryota; Fungi; Neocallimastigomycota; Neocallimastigomycetes; Neocallimastigales. The record is from RNAcentral.